RNAcentral lists this ribosomal RNA (366 nucleotides) under Triticum aestivum (bread wheat). RNAcentral's name for it is "partial small subunit ribosomal RNA". Lineage: Eukaryota; Viridiplantae; Streptophyta; Magnoliopsida; Poales; Poaceae. The record is from RNAcentral.
AUGAAAGUCCUUCUGUAUCGGCUGAUUAAUUCUUGUCUUGCUUGCACAGAGUCAAUUGAUGGAGCCAUAGCCAGUCAGAUGAACAUCCUCGUCCUCACAACUCCGGGCGGUUGCUAUUUUGGCAGCGUGGACUCCGUGCAGAUGCGAUCGUCUUGCCUGCAAGAGGAGAGGACAUGUUUUCAUCUACAGUGGACUCACAGCCCAGUGCGCUUCCGCAGCACGGUUGAAAGGAUGGAAGAGCAGAGGGAGCAGUGCAUACUGGAAAGGAAUUCUGGAUUUUCCAAUUUGGCGACUAGGGAACCCUUUUUAAUAUUAUUAUCUUUAUAUUUUGCUGAGGUGUACUUGUACUACUCCCGUGAACUCUGA